Molecule: long non-coding RNA, 873 nt
Filed under: Homo sapiens (human)
Lineage: Eukaryota; Metazoa; Chordata; Mammalia; Primates; Hominidae
Description: non-protein coding lnc-DEPP1-2:1
Source: RNAcentral
GUGCUAGAAGCUCAUCUAAUGGCAUUACAAGUUUUAAAUUCACCAUAGCAGCUUCUUCCUGAAAUCAGAAAGCUUUUUUUCUGUCUGCAGCUGGAGUGCGAUGGCAUGAUCUCGGCUCACUGCAACCUCUGCCUCCCAGGUUCAAGCGUUUCUCCUGCCUCACCCUCCCAAGUAGCUGGGAUUGCAGGCAUGCACCACUGUGCCCAGGAAGCUGAGAGUGCUGAGGGCACAUCUGAAACCACUGGAGGUUGGCGACAUGGAGGUCAGAACUGAAGAAUUUGGAAGUGCUCAAAUUUUUAAAUAACCAGAUCGAGGAGCUGCCAACACAGAUCAGCAGGCUUCAAAAACUCAAACACCUGAACCUUGGCCACCCUGUGUGCACUCUAUCUAAGUGACAACGGUUUUGAAAUCCUGCCACCAGAUAUUGGGAAGCUCACAAAGUUGCAGAUAGUAACUCAGCAAUAGGGAUAAAGACCUGAUCUCACUGCUUAAGGAAAUUGGGGAGCUUACCCAGCUUAAAGAGCUCCACAUUCAGAGGAACCGCCUCACUGUUCUACGCCCAGAACUAGGCAAUGAUGGGACCUCUUCUCCUGCAUUUGUUACCCAGAUAAUUUUGCCUUUGGAGAAGAGAAGAAAAUCACAUUGGUCUGCUCGGAAUGCAACAAAACAAAGUGUUAUUGACACCAAAACCUUAUUUGCACCAAUCCAAACAGCCUAUGGGACAUAUGUCUGCAAUGCUGCACACACCUGGGGCUAGCCAGCUUAGUGCCCUACGAUAUGUGCCAAUAAUCGAUAGCAUUUUUUACUACAGUAAUUAUGAGAAGCAUAGUAUUUUCUAGCAUGCUUGUGAAGAGUGGAAACAAAUAUUAAUCC